UUGAGUGAAGCUGAGCUGCGAGCCCAGCCUGCGCACACAGGGAGGAGCCAGAGGGAGCCGAGGGGCCGCCCGCCCUGCUGGGCAGGGGCAAGGAGAGGCGCUGCUGCCCCGAACUCGCGCCCGGCCGCCCGCCCGCAGAUCUAAUUAUCCUCAUUUACCGUGCGCGCUGAUUGCCUCCCGAGAGCCAGGUGGCCGGUGGGGCCGGCCCACUUUCAGGAGGCGCUCUGGAAAGGGGCGAGCGUCCGCUGGGCCUGGGUUUGCCCAGGUGGGAUGCAUGGCCGUCCAUGAUUCCUAAAAUGUCACGUCACUGAGAGGCGGACAGGAGCAGAGCAUUCAGCUCGUACAAAGUUCCCGAGAUAGGGGUGGCCUGGUUUUCCUGGAAGAACAACAUGGAAGCUGAGGUGGCCAGAGGCGAAUUUUCCAGAGAGCCACGAGAAUCUCCCAGACACGCGGAGCAGAGGCUGCACCUUGCUGCAGGUCGGAGCUGCUGGCCUUGCCUGGGCUCUCGCCCGCCCCCCGCCUCCCACGAGCCUUCUGCGGAGCAGCUGUGGGAACAGCGAGUGGGGAAGGAGGUUUGGAGGGGCUCCGGGGGCCGCGUUCCCGCGGCGUGACGGCCCACGCAGGGCCUCCGGGCGCCGAAUGUUUCCCCGGCAGCCUGGUGACUCAGCCUGGCAGCCUCCUGCCAGUCUGCAGAGGGACAGAGGGGGCCCCGGCGCCUGCUGCUCCCGAGCAGGGCCGGUGACCCGCAGCCUGCAGGGGCUUCCCCAGGCCUCGGAGAGGAGACCGAAGAAUUUGCCUGUGGCCCAAGCUCGGCCUCCCACGAAGUGUUUCCCCUCCCCACCGCAGCCCCGCCCACGAGGUGCCCCUCCCCACCGCAGCCCCGCCCACGAGGUGCCCCUCCCCACCGCAGCCCCGCCCACGAGGUGCCCCUCCCCACCCCCAGCUCUUUCCAUGGCCUCUUCUGGCCUUUGUUUUUGUGGUUCGUUCUUUGCUGUUUGCCUUUAAAACAGAUUUUAAAAUAUUUCCUUUGAGGGUGGGGUGUGCACUGCGGACAUGCUGCGUAGGGUCUGGGGCGCAGGGAAGAGCAGACGGGCCGCAGUGCUCUGUCCUUCCACCACACAGGACUCGGACUCAGGUUGUCGGGCCCCGGCCCCUGCCGACGCCAUGGCUGGCUUUGGUGGAGCGGCUCCAGUCUGCCCGCCCCCGGGACUUAAGAUGCUCCUGUGUCAGCCUCCAAAGUGCGGGGUGACAGGGGUGCCCCCAGGCAUGGCUGAAGUUGGUUACAAAGGCAGAAAGAGAAAGAGGAGAGAGAAGGAAAAGGGAGAGGAGGGAAAGGAACAUGGGGAGGAAAGUGUAUGUGGCUGUGCACGUGUGUGUUGUGUGUGUAUGUCUGUGCUAUGUGUGUAUGAGUGUGUGUGUGUGCUAUGCUAUGCUGUGUGUGUGUCUGUGCUGGGCUGUGUGUGUGUCCUGAGAGUGUGUGUGUGAGUGUGUGUGUAUGAGUGUGUGUGUGUGUCCUGAGUGUGUGUGUCCUGAGAGUGUGUGUGUGAGUGUGUGUGUAUGAGUGUGUGUGUGUGUGUCCUGAGUGUGUGUCCUGAGUGUGUGUGUCUGUGUGUGACUGUGUGUGUGUGUCCUGAGUGUGUGUGUAUAUGUGUGUGACUGUGUGUGUGUCCUGAGUGUGUGUGAGUGUGUGUGUGUGACUGUGUGUGUCCUGAGUGUGUGUGUAUGUGUGUGUGACUGUGUGUGUGUGUCCUGAGUGUGUGUGCAUAUGUGUGUGCAUAUGUGAGUGUGUGUGUGAGUGUGUGUGUCCUGAGUGUGUGUGCGUAUGUGAGUGUGUGAGUGUGUCCUGAGUGUGUGUGCGUAUGUGAGUGUGUGAGUGUGUCCUGAGUGUGUGUGUGAGUGUGUGUGUGUGUGUGUGACUGUGUGUGUGUGUCCUGAGUGUGUGUGUGUGUGUGUGUCCUGAGGUAGAAGGUGCUGGAGCACAGAGUGAGCAGGUGCAGCGGUGCGGCUCAGGCGGUUCUGGGUGAGCCAUCGGAGGCUGAACAGAGGAGGACUCCCAUCUUCCUCUCCAUGCUCAGAUCAAGUCCUCGGCAGCUGGGCAGCACAUGCCCUGAGGAACAGGCUUCAUGUGCCUAGAGGAGACAGGGCCUCACAAAGCCCAGGCUGGCCUUGAACUCACAGAGAUCCUCCUGCCUCUGCCUCCUGAGUACUGGAAUUAAAGGCAUAGGUCACAACUACCCA
This is a long non-coding RNA of Apodemus sylvaticus (European woodmouse), 2238 nucleotides long. RefSeq lists it as uncharacterized. The transcript is spliced from 3 exons. The record is from RefSeq and is a predicted model, not a curated record. NCBI's taxonomy places the organism in Eukaryota, Metazoa, Chordata, Mammalia, Rodentia, Muridae.